GAUGAACGCUGGCGGCGUGCCUAAUACAUGCAAGUUGAGCGCUGAAGGUUGGUACUUGUACCAACUGGAUGAGCAGCGAACGGGUGAGUAACGCGUGGGGAAUCUGCCUUUGAGCGGGGGACAACAUUUGGAAACGAAUGCUAAUACCGCAUAAAAACUUUAAACACAAGUUUUAAGUUUGAAAGAUGCAAUUGCAUCACUCAAAGAUGAUCCCGCGUUGUAUUAGCUAGUUGGUGAAGUAAAGGCUCACCAAGGCGAUGAUACAUAGCCGACCUGAGAGGGUGAUCGGCCACAUUGGGACUGAGACACGGCCCAAACUCCUACGGGAGGCAGCAGUAGGGAAUCUUCGGCAAUGGACGAAAGUCUGACCGAGCAACGCCGCGUGAGUGAAGAAGGGUUUCGGAUCGUAAAACUCGGUUGGUAGAGAAGAACGUUGGUGAGAGUGGAAAGCUCAUCAAGUGACGGUAACUACCCAGAAAGGGACGGCUAACUACGUG
RNAcentral lists this ribosomal RNA (497 nucleotides) under uncultured bacterium. RNAcentral's name for it is "partial 16S ribosomal RNA". It matches the Rfam family "Bacterial small subunit ribosomal RNA", at positions 28 to 507 of the family's 1533-position model. The record is from RNAcentral.